AAAAGGGGGCAAAGGAUUCAGACCACGUUACUUGUUUGCUAUAGAUAUAAACCUUAGCUAUGUUUACUACGAUUUUAAUUCGUAGCUAAAAGGUUGCCACACCAUUAAUAAUUAACAGUGGCGUAAGGGGCUCUAUAGGGCCUAUAAAAAUAUAUAUAUUAUAUCUAAGUCGUCCAUAUAUUUUUAAAUAUUGUUUUAGGGCAUGAAACAAAAACGUAACUAGAUCGAAGGCUCAAGUGGACCACACGGUAGGAAACAUGAAGAUUAAAUAACAUGUGCUUCCUAUGGUGUGGUCCACUUGGGCCUUCAAUAUAUUUUAAUUUUGGCAACAAGAACUAAAAUUAUUUAUAAAAAUUCAUGGACGGAAUGGAUAAACCAAAUACAACAUGGUGGGCCCCACGAAGCCCUUGACAGGACCGUCCAUGGAUCCGUCUACCCAAUCGACGCCCAAAAAUGGGCGCGCACUCAAAACAGAGCCGCGCCCAAAAAAUCGCUCUCUCUCUCUCUCUCUCCGUUCUCAAACCCUAACUCUCCCGAUCUCUACUCCAUCUCUCUCAUCUUCCUCCCUUUCUCUCUCUGUUCCCCAUUCUUCUCUCUCUCUUCGUUCCCGAACCCCCUCUCUCUCUCUCAAUCUUUGCUCCACUCUCUUAUUCUCCUCUCUCUCUCUCUCUCUCCCUUUCAAUGACUGGAAUUUAGGGAUGGUACUCUCUCUCUCUCUCUCCAUCUUUGUCUCUCUCACUUUCUCUUUCAAUGGCUGGAAUUUAGGCAGUAGCCAUGGCAGUAGCAGCCAUAUCCAUUGUUGUCGAUGGCCACCGACAAUUUUAUGUUAGUUGUUUGAAGAAAUGCUUCAAUUAAGAACCUUCAUGGAUAAAACCAUGUUACAGGUCCUCUGCUUCAAGUAAGAACCUUUCUGAUCUAUUACUAUGAGAUCUAUUGAUUCAGGGCUGUAGAUCUAUUCCUAUGGGAUCUAUUGAUUCAAGGAUGUAGAUCUAUUCUUAUGGGAUCAAUUCCAGAUAUAGGGUUUGUAUGUAGAUCUGUUGCUUAUUCAACUUCUAUAGUUCUCUUAUUUAUUGAUUGUGGAGGUACUGAUUUUUUUAUUUUUUAUUUUGUAAGAAUGAUUGAUAAAUUUCUAAUGGCUAUUUCUCCUAUUACUUUGGUGUUAACAUUGUUUGAUUUUCUCUGUAGCCUGACUUGUUUUGCUUGCAGGAACUUACGAGAUCCCUAUCUUGUGGGGACAUUGGCACCUGAGCUAGGAAGCCUCCUCGCAUUAGAUCUUUGUAAUGGCACAUAUCGGUGAUGAAUGUCACACUACUCGAUACACAUUUAGAGCCUUGCCCCUAAUGCUUUUCUUUUAACAGUACUUUGGCCUUAGAGAGGAACAAGUGUACUCAUCAUCAUAUAAACCAAUGAUGGCCAUAAAUAUCUUAAGCCAAAUCUACAACCAGAACAUAUUGCACCUUGGUUGAAGGAGUAUACGGAUGGAAACAUAAAGACAUGUUUGUGAAAUCUGUGCCUAUUCCUGAAGUCAACAAUUUCCAUGUCAAGAUUGUUGUUGCUAAUAGCCUCCAUGAUGUGGUUUUCAACUCUGAAAAAAAUGGUUGGCAAGGGAAGAGAUGUUGGACCGAAUCAAAUUACUCUGUUUGAGGGGAAAGUGGCUGGUGGUAAUGGUGAACAAGUUAACUUAGCAGGGAUGUUUCUAGGCUUCUAUGUGCAGAUUCGUUUUGGGGUUCAUCUUUGGUUAUAUUUUAGGGAAGAAGCUUCUCGGGUAUGGCUAAUUAUCUCAUUUCUUGAUCAUUCUGUGAAAAUCUUGCAAAAUUUCAAGAGUUCUUGUUUGUCUUUGUAAACUUCUAAUGGUUGGAUAAAAAUGUAACUGCAUGAAAACAUUCAAACCUGAAAUAUCAUGUCCCUUCCCUAUAAACACAUCAUUCUGCAAGCAUUGGGAGCGGCGCUUGUGAUUAUUUUCAUGCUUUUGCUAGCAAUCCUUUCCCGGCCCACUAGUUGGUGGAAAUACUGCAACCAUAAAUAAAUGGACUGAUGAUAGGAUUGCAAACUGCCAAUCUCCCAACAUGGACUUCAUAAAGGGGGAGCUUUUGAGGUUGCUUCUUUCUCUGCUGAAAAUAUAUUGUCAACAUUAUGGAAAAUUACGAUCCCCAUUCGGUGUGGACUCAGCAUUACUGGUAAAGUAGAUCAGUUUGUUUUUAAGCAUGUCAUCAUACAGUAAUACAAUUCAUUCAAUCCAAGAAUAUGGUAACAGUUGGAUGUCACCUCAUUUACUUGGAUGUCACAAGAUACCACAAUCUACACAGUUCUAUUUCAAUCCAAGAAUAUGGUUAUAAAACUGAUGCUUCAAUCACCACUAUUUUUAAUGGUCAAUCACCACUGUUUUUUGCUUGUAUGGUCAACCAGAGAUUUGGAUCUGCUUCAUUUGAGGUUUAUGCCCUAAAAUGAGAUGUCAAAACGGAUGAA
Long non-coding RNA from Magnolia sinica, 2466 nucleotides. RefSeq lists it as uncharacterized. NCBI's taxonomy places the organism in Eukaryota, Viridiplantae, Streptophyta, Magnoliopsida, Magnoliales, Magnoliaceae. The transcript has 6 exons. The record is from RefSeq and is a predicted model, not a curated record.